GCAUAUCAAUAAGCGGAGGAAAAGAAAAUAACAAUGAUUCCCUUAGUAACGGCGAGUGAAGGGGGAAAAGCUCAAAUUUUAAAUCUGCUAGGUUUUACUUAUCAGAAUUGUAAUUUGAAGAAGCGUUUUCCGCGUCUUGGUUGGCCCAAAUCCUUUGGGAUAAGGUAUCAUGGAGGGUGAGAAUCCCGUUCGGUUGACCUUAUGACGCUCUACGAUACGCUCUCUAAGAGUCGAGUUGUUUGGGAUUGCAGCUCAAAAUGGGAGGUAAAUUUCUCCUAAGGCUAAAUAUCGGCGAGAGACCGAUAGCGAACAAGUACCGUGAGGGAAAGAUGAAAAGAACUUUGAAAAGAGAGUAAAAUAGUACGUGAAAUUGUUGAAAGGGAAACGAUUGAAGUCAGUCGUACCGACGAGAAAUCAACUUAUCGUGUGCGAACU
RNAcentral lists this ribosomal RNA (435 nucleotides) under uncultured fungus. RNAcentral's name for it is "LSU rRNA". It matches the Rfam family "Eukaryotic large subunit ribosomal RNA", at positions 38 to 469 of the family's 3401-position model. Lineage: Eukaryota; Fungi. The record is from RNAcentral.